CGGGUGAGUAAUGUAUGGGGAUCUGCCUGAUGGCGGGGGAUAACUACUGGAAACGGUAGCUAAUACCGCAUAAUGUCUACGGACCAAAGCGGGGGACCUCCGGGCCUCGCGCCAUCAGAUGAACCCAUAUGGGAUUAGCUAGUAGGUAAGGUAACGGCUUACCUAGGCGACGAUCCCUAGCUGGUCUGAGAGGAUGAUCAGCCACACUGGGACUGAGACGCGGCCCAG
This 228-nucleotide ribosomal RNA is filed under the name uncultured bacterium. Its description in RNAcentral is "partial 16S ribosomal RNA". It matches the Rfam family "Bacterial small subunit ribosomal RNA", at positions 103 to 334 of the family's 1533-position model. The record is from RNAcentral.